AGGGAGAUAUCCGCAAUGUUUAUACAAAGAGAAGUGCUUAUUAAAUGAGGAAUAAAGUAAUAUGAGGCUCGCCGGAAAAUGAAGUUUCCGACGAGCAUACCGACGUUGUAGUCUAACCUCAAGGGUAACAGUGCAAAAAAGGAGACAUUUCAUCCCAACGAUAGAUGGUCUUUAUAUAGAGCUUUGGGGGUACGAGGUUUCUGUGGCGUGAGCUGGCAAAAUCAGCGAAUCGUUCUGUUAGGAGAUAGGAUCUUUCUCUGAUUUGUUGUGGUCCCUCAAUAACAGGUGGUACCAACGGAAUUUGUUUUGCGUGACCACUCCUCCAAAUCCUUUCUUUGAAUAAUUUAUACUGCUGUAAAAGAUAUGUCGUAUGUGGGUCGCCGUUCACAGUUAUGAGUUUGUAGGCUCUUCUUGACGCAUGAUUGCUAAUGUAGCUGAUGCGUAACUCUAUCAUUUGCUUAAAUGGAGGCGAGAAGUAGGCCAAUGAAACACCUUUCGAAUGCUACAAACCAUUGGAUAUCACCUUGCACUCUAACAAUCAUGGCUGUUACUUUUUAGGAUUUUCAGGAUGGUUAGAUCAUUGCAAUGCAUGACAGGUUAGGCCAGAUGUGUUGUUUCCAAGAGUGCACCAUUGAAUGCUGAAACCAUUUUCUCUGUUCUUGCAACAUUAAGGAACGUGGCAGAACCUAUUAGGAUGAUCCCCGAGGCUCUAUCCGUUAUGAUUCAAGUUUAAAGUUUCCUUCGACUGUCUCAAUAACAUUUCUGCUUGAUGAAGAAAUAAAAAAAGAUGAUGGUGAAAGCAACUUCAAGCAAUGUUCUGCUGUGGAAAUUCAAGAUGACAACCUCAUUUGGGAUCGUGAAUUUGUGUCUCCAACUUUAUCAGAUGUAAAUUCAGGAAUCAAACAGGGACAGGAAAUAACAAUUUGUGGACCAGUUGGUGCUGGAAAAUAAUCACUUUUGUAUGCAAUAUUUGUGGAGGUUCAUAAGAUUUCUGGAACAGUAAGUUACGAGUAGAACUGUUACCUUUUUUAUCCUGGCGCACCUGUAUUCACAUUCACAUUGUCGGUGUAGCGCUGCUAGCUCUUGGAUCUAUAUGUCACCGCAUCACAGUAAGUUACGAGUAGAACUGUUACCUUUUUUAUCCUGGCGCACCUGUAUUCACAUUCACAUUGUCGGUGUAGCGCUGCUAGCUCUUGGAUCUAUAUGUCACCGCAUGAUACGGGAGAGAAUCUUAUAUUGUCUUGUGGAAACUAAUGCAAGGAAUGGCCUGAGAAACUGAUGUGGCCAGCGGAUGCAUACCUUUAGUUUUUAAUUCUUUCACUUGGCUUGACUGUGAUGUAUCUUAAGUCACAGGGUUUUUAUGAACGGUCUUGUGGUAUGGUUUUAUUAAUGUAUUUGAAACAACUUUAUUUGUAAAUUGAAACUUGUGGUUCAAAAAUCAUAAAUCAAAGCUAAUACCCACACCAAACGAUGUUAUGCAUGAAAUCCGCAGACAAAGGCCUGCCUAUUUCUUAUA
Lathyrus oleraceus (garden pea) is the source of this 1516-nucleotide long non-coding RNA. RefSeq lists it as uncharacterized. The transcript has 5 exons. The record is from RefSeq and is a predicted model, not a curated record. Lineage: Eukaryota; Viridiplantae; Streptophyta; Magnoliopsida; Fabales; Fabaceae.